GACGAACGCUGGCGGCGUGCUUAACACAUGCAAGUCGAACGGUGAAGCGCCUUCCUUUUUGGUGGGUGUGGAUGAGCGGCGAACGGGUGAGUAACACGUGAGUACCCUGCUCCCUCUUUCUUGAUAACCGCAUGAAAGAGUGGCUACUACGGGAUAUUCUGGGUCUGUCGCAUGAUGGGUCUGGGAAAGAUUUUGUUUCGGUUGGGGAUGGGCUCGCGGCCUAUCAGCUUGUUGGUGGGGUGAUGGCCUACCAAGGCGGUGAGGGGUAGCCGGCCUGAGAGGGUGGGCGGUCAUGCUGGGGCGAAGACGCGGAGAAGACUCCUACGGGAGGCAGUAGGGAGGAUUAUGGCACGAGGGGCGCAAGCCUGAUGCAGCGACGCGGCGGGGGGGAUGGAGGCCGUCGGGUUGUGAACUUCUUUCGCCAGUGAAGCAGGCUGGCCUCGUCUGUGGGUGGGUUGACGGUACCUGGAUAAGAAGCGCCGGCUAACUACGUG
RNAcentral lists this ribosomal RNA (494 nucleotides) under uncultured bacterium. RNAcentral's name for it is "partial 16S ribosomal RNA". It matches the Rfam family "Bacterial small subunit ribosomal RNA", at positions 28 to 507 of the family's 1533-position model. The record is from RNAcentral.